RNAcentral lists this ribosomal RNA (460 nucleotides) under uncultured bacterium. RNAcentral describes it as "partial 16S ribosomal RNA". It matches the Rfam family "Bacterial small subunit ribosomal RNA", at positions 338 to 795 of the family's 1533-position model. The record is from RNAcentral.
CCUACGGGUGGCAGCAGUGAGGAAUAUUGGUCAAUGGACGAGAGUCUGAACCAGCCAAGUAGCGUGAAGGAUGACUGCCCUAUGGGUUGUAAACUUCUUUUAUAAAGGAAUAAAACGAGGCACGUGUGCCUUUUUGCAUGUACUUUAUGAAUAAGGAUCGGCUAACUCCGUGCCAGCAGCCGCGGUAAUACGGAGGAUCCGAGCGUUAUCCGGAUUUAUUGGGUUUAAAGGGAGCGUAGGUGGGUUGUUAAGUCAGUUGUGAAAGUUUGCGGCUCAACCGUAAAAUUGCAACUGAUACUGGCAGUCUAGAGUACAGAUGAGGCAGGCGGAAUUCGUGGUGUAGCGGUGAAAUGCAUAGAUAUUACGAAGAACACCGAUUGCGAAGGCAGCUUGCUAGACUGUGACUGACAUUGAUGCUCGAAAGUGUGGGUAUCAAACAGGAUUAGAUACCCUAGUAGUC